Non-coding RNA from Schizosaccharomyces pombe (fission yeast), 1105 nucleotides. Lineage: Eukaryota; Fungi; Ascomycota; Schizosaccharomycetes; Schizosaccharomycetales; Schizosaccharomycetaceae. The record is from the annotation of a GenBank genome assembly.
UGAAAUUAAUAAAUCUAAAAUGGUGAUUAAGGAAGGAUUACUGUGCAUCUUUGAAAGUCAUUCAAUUCCUUAAUUAAAAACGACCAAUAUGCUGCGGUUCACCCUUAACAUCAUGUUUUUAACCAACGACAUCAUGGGUAGUAAAAUAAGUAAAACCAUAUUCAUAUUCUUUCUUAAUUUUCUCAAUUUUGAUCGUAUUUCGUUUUUUUCCACAACACCAGAUAUUAAAAUCGAUAAAGAACUUUUUCCAUCCGCAGUUGGGAGUACAUCAUUCCUACUUCGAUAUACUUUUGAAAGAGAAAAGUGAACCGAUUGGAAUUGUUUCGACAACACGAAUUUUACUUCUAGGUCAUAUAUUUAUGGCGAUGCCAAACAACAAUAUUGUUGAGACAGUAAGUUAAGCAAAUGGCUAAAUAAAUCCAAGACUGUUGUUGAGUGCUGUGGAUCUCAAUAUUAUCAGUAUCUACUCUUCUCGAUGAUCCUGUAAAUUUUUGUUAUCUUUUUUUAUUUGCAGUUACUGAUAAUACUAGCAUUUUGCAUGCUUUUUUUUAUUUGGAUGUUCUUCCAAUUGAUCAAUACAGUAACUUUAGAACUAUCAUCGCUAUGCCUUUAAAUGACCGCACUAAAAGCAUGGUACCAAAGCUCGAACAUAGAAAGAAAUCCAGAAAGGGAUUUAAAGAUUGACUUUUUCGACAAACUUCAUGUUACAAGUCUUAUCGUUUGUGUUUAUAAAUCAUCAGCCUCUCUCUAUAUCUCUAUAUCUCUAUAUAUCAGAUAUAAAGAUGCGAGUUUUGAAGUAGACAUUCCGCACAAAGUCUAGUACACCAUGUCUCUUGUGCUCAGGCUGGUUGUCCUGCAAAAAUGUACAACAGGCAAAUGGAUGUUUCAUCAAAGAUGGACUCCUUUGCCUCAUACUUAUUGAUGGCGAAGCUAGAUCCGUUAUCAUCUUGAGAAAACACAUCAUCGUCGUACUACAUUUUUUUUCUUACUCAUUGCUUGUUUAUCUACUACGAUUAAACUAUUACAAAGGAUAUCCAGGAAGAUGAUACACAAUGAAAACCGAUAUGUGGGUUGCAAAAGAUAAGCAGUCACCGCAAGAUAGAGU